CGCAUAUGUAAGCUUGCAAACCAAACAUACGCUCGUAAACUUAACGAGUGGGUUAAGUUUUACUCUUGUCAUUCAAGGAAUUGGGGAAAAAAACAAAUAAAAGUAAAAUGCUUUCUUCACUAAUAUUUCCUCUCUGUAGGCUUUCAUUUUAAAUAGACGUUAAAGUAAUCCUGCCACAAGAAACCCAGUUGAAUAAAACAGAAUCUGAGUUGAUUUUGCAAAAGACAUCCAACCAAAAACUCAUCCCAACAUGUUGUUCUAACUCCAAAAACAAGGUGCAUCACUUGAUAUACAGCUAUGAGUUGACAGCGUAAUAAUUCAUUAAAGAAAUCAAAUGCAGUUAAUUACAUAUACCUAGCUAGGCGCUAGAAUCACAAGGAGCAUCCGCAACAAGCUUGAAUUCCUGAACCUCCUUAAAAUUCAACCAUGGCUUCACCCACACCUUGGCUUCAUACACUUUCUUGUGACCCCCUUCAGUUACCUCAAAGGUAAUAUAAUAAAUUGUCCCAGCCACCACCUGCUGCUUUGCAUUCAACACCCUCUUGAACUCCAGCACUGAAUUCUGCACAAAAACAAGCAUCGGAUCAAAUUGAAUCAAAACAACAAUACUUCAAAAAUAAUGUAUUCAGCUAAUUUUUUGAAUUUCAAGAAAGAACCUGUUUCUUGUUGUAGUCAUCAACAGCAAAACGAGCAAGACUGUCGAUUUCAAGACUGUUAGCUGUUCCUUCCACCUCCGUAAUACCACCUACUGUUGCCAUUUCGUUCUGUCUUUCUUUCUGGGAGUCUCUGCUUUUGUUGUCAAGAAAAGAGAGGAAGACGAAGAUGUUUUUGGAAA
This is a long non-coding RNA of Populus trichocarpa (black cottonwood), 835 nucleotides long. RefSeq lists it as uncharacterized. NCBI's taxonomy places the organism in Eukaryota, Viridiplantae, Streptophyta, Magnoliopsida, Malpighiales, Salicaceae. The record is from RefSeq and is a predicted model, not a curated record. The transcript is spliced from 2 exons.